Molecule: long non-coding RNA, 260 nt
Organism: Elgaria multicarinata webbii
Lineage: Eukaryota; Metazoa; Chordata; Lepidosauria; Squamata; Anguidae
Exons: 3
Source: RefSeq, a predicted model, not a curated record
AGCCGAGCCGGCGGCGGGGAGGUUGGGUUUUUGCGUGCUCGGGGAAGUUUUCGGUGGCGGUGGCUCCGGAAAGGGGAGGACGGCGGACCGUCGGCAGCUGGGAUGUCGUCGUGACCAGUGAUUGGACCUCCUGGCAUGGAACUGAACUGGGUUGAUUUGUGGGAACUAUAAGAUUGCCAUCACGAAAGCCAAAGUGGAUUUCUCCGGGGUACUGUGCCUGCCCCCUUCCGUCAUUGCUGGAAAUGGGCUGGACGGAGGAG